AACGAACGCUGGCGGCAUGCCUAACACAUGCAAGUCGAACGAGACCUUCGGGUCUAGUGGCGCACGGGUGCGUAACGCGUGGGAACCUGCCCUUAGGUUCGGAAUAACUCUCCGACAGGGGUGCUAAUACCGGAUAAUGUCUUCGAACCAAAGAUUUAUCGCCUUUGGAUGGGCCGGCGUUGGAUUAGCUAGUUGGUAGGGUAAAAGCCUACCAAGGCGACGAUCCAUAGCUGGUAUGAGAGGAUGAUCAGCCACACUGGGACUGAGACACGGCCCAGACUCCUACGGGAGGCAGCAGUGGGGAAUAUUGGACAAUGGGCGAAAGCAUGAUCCAGCAAUGCCGCGUGAGUGAUGAAGGCAUUAGGGUUGUAAAGCUCAUGUACCCAGGAUGAUAAUGACAGUACCGGGAGAAUAAGCCCCGGCUAACUCCGUG
RNAcentral lists this ribosomal RNA (433 nucleotides) under uncultured bacterium. Its description in RNAcentral is "partial 16S ribosomal RNA". It matches the Rfam family "Bacterial small subunit ribosomal RNA", at positions 29 to 507 of the family's 1533-position model. The record is from RNAcentral.